UCCCUAGUGGCUCAGACGGUAAAGCAUCUGCCUGCAAUGCAGGAGACCCGGGUUCAAUUCCUGGGUCAGGAA
RNAcentral lists this transfer RNA (72 nucleotides) under Capra hircus (goat). It matches the Rfam family "tRNA". Rfam says of the family: Transfer RNA (tRNA) molecules are approximately 80 nucleotides in length. RNAcentral also lists the same sequence under 1 other name. The record is from Rfam by way of RNAcentral. Lineage: Eukaryota; Metazoa; Chordata; Mammalia; Artiodactyla; Bovidae.